RNAcentral lists this small RNA (127 nucleotides) under Marmota monax (woodchuck). The record is from RNAcentral. Lineage: Eukaryota; Metazoa; Chordata; Mammalia; Rodentia; Sciuridae.
GCCAGGCCUGGUGGUGCACGCCUGCGAUCCCAGCAACUCAGGAGGCUGAGGCAGGAGGAUCGCAAGGUGGAGGCCAGCCUCAACAACUUGGCGAGGUCCUAAGCAACUCAGGGAGACCCUGUCUCUA